This 85-nucleotide transfer RNA is filed under the name Vibrio parahaemolyticus. RNAcentral describes it as "tRNA-Leu". It matches the Rfam family "tRNA". From Rfam's summary of the family: Transfer RNA (tRNA) molecules are approximately 80 nucleotides in length. Their secondary structure includes four short double-helical elements and three loops (D, anti-codon, and T loops). Further hydrogen bonds mediate the characteristic L-shaped molecular structure. tRNAs have two regions of fundamental functional importance: the anti-codon, which is responsible for specific mRNA codon recognition, and the 3' end, to which the tRNAs corresponding amino acid is attached (by aminoacyl-tRNA synthetases). tRNAs cope with the degeneracy of the genetic code in two manners: having more than one tRNA (with a specific anti-codon) for a particular amino acid; and 'wobble' base-pairing, i.e. permitting non-standard base-pairing at the 3rd anti-codon position. RNAcentral also lists the same sequence under 1 other name. Lineage: Bacteria; Pseudomonadati; Pseudomonadota; Gammaproteobacteria; Vibrionales; Vibrionaceae. The record is from RNAcentral.
GCGGGUGUGGUGAAAUUGGUAUACACGUUGGAUUCAAAAUCCAAUUUCUUCGGAAGUGUGGGUUCAAGUCCCACCACCCGCACCA